GGAGGGAUCAUUAAUGACGUUGUUGUUGGUUAGUUCGCGCUAACCCGCACGUUUGUCAUUCUUUUUCCAUUUCCAACAAUUAACGUGAACCGAGAAGAAGGAACCGCUUGAUGAUUGAGGAAAAUUGGCUUUUAUUAUGCUGGGUUGCCGUGUGGCUCCUUUUCGUCCAUCGUUACUUGUAACGAAUAGGCAUGUGGGAUAGCCGGUGAUUUUGGCUUAGCUAAGAAGUACGCUUAUCUUCGGACAAAUUCCGGACUCUAACCUCCCUGACCGCAAAGUGCCCUUAGUCUUACAUACCCUGUCAAAGUGAAUCUUAGUACGUUGUCUUUGGAUGGGCAGUGCCGACGACGAGAGUUGUUUGCAUGAACUGCCAACCUCCUUUCAUCCAGCACGUACGCCUUAUGAGAAAGGGAUAGUAGCUAAGUGAGUGUUCAAUCGCUAGGCCUUGCUGUGUUGGGUUAUUUGUAUGUUCGUUCUAUCACUUUGGGAACAUUACCCCCUUUUUUUCUCUGUAUCAUUGACCAUCAAUGUACAUUUCCUUCCGGCGCAAUGUGCCUUUGUUGCACUGUUGCGUUGUUUGGUUUUCACCCCAUUUUUUCUUCUGACGAAUGAUUGGGUACAUGCUGAUGAUGAACAAUCAUUGGUGUAGUGCCAAAAACUAAGACAAAGUGGAAUGGUUCCAUCAAUAAUUUCGUUGAUUGGACCCCCAUGCACAACUCUUAGCAAUGGAUAUCUAGGUUCUCUAGACGAUGAAGAGCGCAGCGAAAUGCGAUAUGUAAUGCGAAUUGCAGAAUUCAGUGAAUCAUCCAAUUCUUGAACGCAAAUGGCGCUUUUGGGAUAGACCUAAAAGCACGCCUCUCUCAGUAUCGGCAAUCAUACCACCUCAAGCAGCGUUGUUGGUUGACACACCAGUGGUGUCAGCAGGCGGCGUUGGUUGGAAAAUGAGUAUCUCGCUUUGUUGCAACUUUUUUGGUGCUGACGACGCGAGUUGCUUGAAAUGCAUUGAGCUGCCUGUCUAUGGAUGCGACUGUCUCCCUUUCUGAGGAAUUGGAGGUAGGUACAACCGUGGUUGUGACGUGUCGUCGGCAGAUGAUUGGAAACGUGGUUCAAUUCACCUAUCUUAGGAUAGUGUGAAUCCUCUUUCCGCUGUCAUCGGUUGGUGUCAGUCGCGGCCUUUCGUCCAUGGACACAGUGAUGGCUGUUGGUGUUGGGCGUUGAUUCGUCUUUCACCUAUGAUCAACAUGUACCUUUGUAUGUGUUGUGUGAUUUUUCAUUCUAGAUCUGAGAUGAAGCGAGAGGACCCCCUGAAUUUGAGCAUAUUAAUAAGGGGAGGAAAAGAAACUAACAAGGAUUCCCUCAGUAACGGCGAGUGAAGCGGGAGAAGCUCAACUUGAAAAUCAUGGAUUGUCGCCAGUCCUAUGAAUUGUGAGCUAUAGACGUGCUAUCAGCGUGUGACCCAGGUCCAAGUCCUUUGGAACAAGGUAUCAUAGAGGGUGAGAAUCCCGUCUAUUGGCUUGGUGUUUUUUGCCGCGUACGAUGCAUGCUCAUCGAGUCGAGUUGUUUGGGAUUGCAGCUCUAAAUGGGUGGUAAGUUUCAUCUAAAGCUAAAUACCUUAGAGAAACCGAUAGCGAACAAGUACCGUGAGGGAAAGAUGAAAAGAACUUUGAAAAGAGAGUUAAACAGUACUUGAAAUUGCUAAGAGGGAAGCGCUAGAAAUCAGUGAUUCUUGCCUGCAUUUUGCCCGUUGUAUCGGUGGGUUGGCCGGGGGUUGACGUUGGCAACUCGUCAUUUCUUUGGUCAAUCUAUUGGUCGAUGGUUCCUGUGUGGGUGUAGAGGUCAAGAUGAGUUGAGAGCAUAGGAGAAAGCGUAUGGGAAGGUAGGACGUUCAGCAAUGGGCGUCUGUUAUAGCCUGUAUGUGCUACUAUGUUUUCGACUGAGGAAUGAAACAGUGCGCCACUAGGCUUAGUGCGCUGCUCCUCUUGGUUUCCGUCUGCUUGGAUGACAAUGUCAUGCUGUGGACGUCGGCCUUGACUGGGUGGACUCGCUAGAUGCACUUUCGCGAUCUUGACAACAAAUGGUUUCUAUCGACCCGUCUUGAAACACGGACCAAGGAGUCUAACAUAUAUGCAAGUAGUUGGGUGGUAAACCCUGGUGCGCAAUGAAAGUGAAGGCAGCCUUGUGUUGCUUAGGUAGGAAUCCCUUUCCGGGGAGGCACUAUCGACCGACCCUCACUUGUGAUGCGGUUUGAGUAAGAGCAUAUCUGUUGGGACCCGAAAGAUGGUGAUCUAUGCCUGAACAGGGUGAAGCCAGGGGAAACUCUGGUGGAGGCUCGUAGCGAUACUGACGUGCAAAUCGUUCGUCUGAUUUGGGUAUAGGGGCGAAAGACUAAUCGAACCAUUUAGUAGCUGGUUCCCUC
RNAcentral lists this unclassified non-coding RNA (2416 nucleotides) under uncultured fungus. RNAcentral's name for it is "sequence contains 18S rRNA gene, ITS1, 5.8S rRNA gene, ITS2, 28S rRNA gene". The stretch from base 1278 to 2416 matches the Rfam family "Eukaryotic large subunit ribosomal RNA", at positions 1 to 961 of the family's 3401-position model. Lineage: Eukaryota; Fungi. The record is from RNAcentral.